RNAcentral lists this ribosomal RNA (450 nucleotides) under Triticum aestivum (bread wheat). RNAcentral describes it as "partial small subunit ribosomal RNA". Lineage: Eukaryota; Viridiplantae; Streptophyta; Magnoliopsida; Poales; Poaceae. The record is from RNAcentral.
AUGAGUGGGAGCUCCCAUAUUGCAUCAUUACAAUCUCAACAUAGUACCUAUGCAUGCCCCAUUAAAAUAAAUACCAUUUGCACUUAUGGCAUAGAUGACGAGAUGAUGGUCCUUGGCUUUUGUUUUUCAUGUGAUGGUAUUGCCAUGCUUCCUUUACAUGAUUUGCGCAAUUCAUCUACUAUACCAUGCCAUGAUCACAUUGUUCUGAAUAUGCAUUGUUUUGGAUGUUCUCAAUAUUCUCCACAUGAUGUUUCCACUAAUGAUCAUGAGAAGACCCCCAUAGUUUCCUCAUACAUAUUAGGAGAUUUUGAUGCAUUCCAUACUUUGCAUGAUUCCCAUGAUUGUGUGCACCACAUGCCUUCCAUGAAUACGAUGCUCUACAUAUUUUUCGUGAUGCAUUCCAUAAUUCGAGUCUCCAUUAUGCUAUACAUAAUAACAAACCUCUCAUGA